UGUUCCGCUUGGUGCGAUUGUCAGUAUUUAUGCCGCUAGUGGCGGCGGGGAGCUGGGUUGGAGUUCCGUGUUAGGUGCCAGCUUAAUCGGUGCGG
Molecule: transfer RNA, 95 nt
Filed under: compost metagenome
Description: tRNA-Thr
Source: RNAcentral